Molecule: unclassified non-coding RNA, 546 nt
Filed under: Zea mays
Lineage: Eukaryota; Viridiplantae; Streptophyta; Magnoliopsida; Poales; Poaceae
Description: misc RNA Zm00001eb430790
Source: RNAcentral
CAUCUAUUGGCUAUUGCUACUCCUUGCUAUCUCUUGGCCGCAGUACAAAGGCCAAGGGAUUAGGUGUGCCCUCUGUGUCAGACUGUCAACAGUGGGUUGGGCGGGUGGAUAUAGGUGAUGGUUUAUCCUUUUUGACUUUGUGUCAUCUGAUUAAUAACCGGUUAAGAAAGACACAGUUUCAAAAAAAAAAGAUUAAGAAAGACACAAACAGGAAAUGGGCAAGCAAUUGCUUCCAAAGAAAAGGAGAGAAGAGAAAAUGGUCACGGUCAAGCACGGGCAGCGAGACGGAUGUUCUUCAUAUUUUUCCCCCCUUCUCUUCAAAUGGAAGUCACAACACAAGCCUUGUGGUGCGUGCCUGAACCUCAAGUCUGCAGAUUUGACCACUGCAGCCGUGGAGCAGAGCGGCCUGAAUUCUUCUUCUGAAGUUCCACCGCAAAUUAAUCCAGGAGAGUGUGAGACUGACUGACACACAUGCACAGGGAUCACGCCAGGUAUAUAAACGCGCAGGCGGCCGGCCGGCCCACCCACCGGCGACGGCGAUCCGAG